Sardina pilchardus (European sardine) is the source of this 587-nucleotide long non-coding RNA. RefSeq lists it as uncharacterized. The transcript has 3 exons. The record is from RefSeq and is a predicted model, not a curated record. NCBI's taxonomy places the organism in Eukaryota, Metazoa, Chordata, Actinopteri, Clupeiformes, Clupeidae.
AUUUCAGCAGCAGAAGAGACGGUACAGAAGCCCAAGAGUGUGAGGAGGAGAAUGAUGGGGUGGGUUAACAAAACAAUUAAAACCUACAACCAGAAAAAAAUUGAGAGGACACACGAGAGAGAAGAGAAGGAGGGAGGCCACAUCUACUCUGCAUGGUAUCUAGAUGCACCCAUUUUAAGAGCAGAGAGGGAGCAACAAAAGAGAGAGGAACUCCUGAGGUCAGAGGAGAAACGGCAGAAGAGGGAAGAUAACUGGAGAAAGUGGGAGGCUAAAAGGGCUGAGAAAAAGGAGAAGAAGAGGGCUGAAAAGCAAGAAAAAUUGGUGAGGAAGAAGAAUAAAAAACAAGAAGACAAGCAGCAAAGACAGGACAUAUAUGAAAAUAUUCGACAACGACGUGAACAAAAGUUGCAACGAGAGGCUGCUCUCAACCAGUGAGCAGCCCUCUGGUCAGCCAUCUCCGGAGGACGGCCCGGGUGCCAGACAGAGCGUCGGAGUCGCUCAGGAGGGUGGCCAGGGUGCCGCAGGGCAGAGCGCCGGGGAGGCUCUGGAGUCAGGGGCACUGGAGAGCGCGGGGACUCGGGACUCAA